GGGUUGUGAGGUUAAGCGACUAAGCGUACACGGUGGAUGCCCUGGCAGUCAGAGGCGAUGAAGGACGUGCUAAUCUGCGAAAAGCGCCGGCGAGGUGAUAUGAACCCUUGACCCGGCGAUGUCCGAAUGGGGAAACCCAGUGUGAUUCGUCACACUAUCGUUAGCUGAAUACAUAGGCUAACGAGGCGAACCGGGGGAACUGAAACAUCUAAGUACCCCGAGGAAAAGAAAUCAACCGAGAUUCCCCCAGUAGCGGCGAGCGAACGGGGAGCAGCCCGGAGUCUGAAUCAGCUUGUGUGUUAGUGGAAGCGUCUGGAAAGUCGCAGGGUACAGGGUGAUACUCCCGUACACGAAAGCACACAUGCUGUGAACUCGAAGAGUAGGGCGGGACACGUGGUAUCCUGUCUGAAUAUGGGGGGACCAUCCUCCAAGGCUAAAUACUCCUGACUGACCGAUAGUGAACCAGUACCGUGAGGGAAAGGCGAAAAGAACCCCGGCGAGGGGAGUGAAAAAGAACCUGAAACCGUGUACGUACAAGCAGUGGGAGCACCUUCGGGUGUGACUGCGUACCUUUUGUAUAAUGGGUCAGCGACUUAUAUUCUGUAGCAAGGUUAACCGUAUAGGGGAGCCGGAGGGAAACCGAGUCUUAACUGGGCGUUAAGUUGCAGGGUAUAGACCCGAAACCCGGUGAUCUAGCCAUGGGCAGGUUGAAGGUUGGGUAACACUAACUGGAGGACCGAACCGACUAAUGUUGAAAAAUUAGCGGAUGACCUGUGGCUGGGGGUGAAAGGCCAAUCAAACCGGGAGAUAGCUGGUUCUCCCCGAAAGCUAUUUAGGUAGCGCCUCGUGAAUUCAUCCUCGGGGGUAGAGCACUGUUUCGGCUAGGGGGCCAUCCCGGCUUACCAACCCGAUGCAAACUGCGAAUACCGAGGAAUGUUAUCACGGGAGACACACGGCGGGUGCUAACGUCCGUCGUGAAGAGGGAAACAACCCAGACCGCCAGCUAAGGUCCCAAAGUCAUGGUUAAGUGGGAAACGAUGUGGGAAGGCACAGACAGCCAGGAUGUUGGCUUAGAAGCAGCCAUCAUUUAAAGAAAGCGUAAUAGCUCACUGGUCGAGUCGGCCUGCGCGGAAGAUGUAACGGGGCUAAACCAUGCACCGAAGCUGCGGCAGCGACACUAUGUGUUGUUGGGUAGGGGAGCGUUCUGUAAGCCUGCGAAGGUGUGCUGUGAGGCAUGCUGGAGGUAUCAGAAGUGCGAAUGCUGACAUAAGUAACGAUAAAGCGGGUGAAAAGCCCGCUCGCCGGAAGACCAAGGGUUCCUGUCCAACGUUAAUCGGGGCAGGGUGAGUCGACCCCUAAGGCGAGGCCGAAAGGCGUAGUCGAUGGGAAACAGGUUAAUAUUCCUGUACUCGGUGUUACUGCGAAGGGGGGACGGAGAAGGCUAUGUUGGCCGGGCGACGGUUGUCCCGGUUUAAGCAUGUAGGCGGAGGUUCCAGGUAAAUCCGGUACCUUUUAACGCUGAGGUGUGAUGACGAGGCACUACGGUGCUGAAGCAACAAAUGCCCUGCUUCCAGGAAAAGCCUCUAAGCAUCAGGUAACAUCAAAUCGUACCCCAAACCGACACAGGUGGUCAGGUAGAGAAUACCAAGGCGCUUGAGAGAACUCGGGUGAAGGAACUAGGCAAAAUGGUGCCGUAACUUCGGGAGAAGGCACGCUGAUAUGUAGGUGAAGCCCCUGCGGGUGGAGCUGAAAUCAGUCGAAGAUACCAGCUGGCUGCAACUGUUUAUUAAAAACACAGCACUGUGCAAACACGAAAGUGGACGUAUACGGUGUGACGCCUGCCCGGUGCCGGAAGGUUAAUUGAUGGGGUUAGCUGUAAGGCGAAGCUCUUGAUCGAAGCCCCGGUAAACGGCGGCCGUAACUAUAACGGUCCUAAGGUAGCGAAAUUCCUUGUCGGGUAAGUUCCGACCUGCACGAAUGGCGUAAUGAUGGCCAGGCUGUCUCCACCCGAGACUCAGUGAAAUUGAAAUCGCUGUGAAGAUGCAGUGUACCCGCGGCAAGACGGAAAGACCCCGUGAACCUUUACUAUAGCUUGACACUGAACACUGGUCCUUGAUGUGUAGGAUAGGUGGGAGGCUUUGAAGUGUGGACGCCAGUCUGCAUGGAGCCGUCCUUGAAAUACCACCCUUUAAUGGCUGGUGUUCUAACGUGGACCCGUUACCCGGGUUGCGGACAGUGUCUGGUGGGUAGUUUGACUGGGGCGGUCUCCUCCUAAAGAGUAACGGAGGAGCACGAAGGUCAGCUAAUCCUGGUCGGACAUCAGGAGGUUAGUGCAAUGGCAUAAGCUGGCUUGACUGCGAGAGUGACGGCUCGAGCAGGUGCGAAAGCAGGUCAUAGUGAUCCGGUGGUUCUGAAUGGAAGGGCCAUCGCUCAACGGAUAAAAGGUACUCCGGGGAUAACAGGCUGAUACCGCCCAAGAGUUCAUAUCGACGGCGGUGUUUGGCACCUCGAUGUCGGCUCAUCACAUCCUGGGGCUGAAGUAGGUCCCAAGGGUAUGGCUGUUCGCCAUUUAAAGUGGUACGCGAGCUGGGUUUAGAACGUCGUGAGACAGUUCGGUCCCUAUCUGCCGUGGGCGCUGGAGAAUUGAGGGGGGCUGCUCCUAGUACGAGAGGACCGGAGUGGACGCAUCACUGGUGUUCGGGUUGUCAUGCCAAUGGCACUGCCCGGUAGCUAAAUGCGGAAGAGAUAAGUGCUGAAAGCAUCUAAGCACGAAACUUGCCCCGAGAUGAGUUCUCCCUGACCCUUUAAGGGUCCUGAAGGAACGUUGAAGACGACGACGUUGAUAGGCCGGGUGUGUAAGCGCAGCGAUGCGUUGAGCUAACCGGUACUAAUGAACCGUGAGGCUUAACCUUACAACGCCGAAGCUGUU
This 2929-nucleotide ribosomal RNA is filed under the name Leclercia sp. J807. Its description in RNAcentral is "23S ribosomal RNA". It matches the Rfam family "Bacterial large subunit ribosomal RNA". Lineage: Bacteria; Pseudomonadati; Pseudomonadota; Gammaproteobacteria; Enterobacterales; Enterobacteriaceae. The record is from RNAcentral.